Long non-coding RNA from Odocoileus virginianus texanus, 1181 nucleotides. RefSeq lists it as uncharacterized. The record is from RefSeq and is a predicted model, not a curated record. Lineage: Eukaryota; Metazoa; Chordata; Mammalia; Artiodactyla; Cervidae.
GGGACCGUGAGCCCAGUAGGGCUCUGAGGGUAGUGGGCUGGCCUGAGCGAGCGUAGACUGGGUCCCGGAGCACAAGCAGGAGGGGCGGGAGGGGGCGGUAGGACCCCGCUUUGUCGGUGUCUGUGAGCGGGCGAUCGAGCUCGCGCGUCAAACCUCGAUAUCCGGGCUGCAUUGGCGCCCUCCAGCCAGAUUCCUGAUGGUCGGCGGCGGGAGACAAAGGUAAAAGACCAGACCUUUCGGGGAGAGAAACCGAAUGGUGAAAACCUCUUCAUGGGCUUAAUUCUUUCUGCAAACCUGGAGCGAACUCCCGUGGCCGCACUCCAACUGAGGGGCCAGCCCAGAGCGCCCUGGAGCACGUCUGGGAAUGCGCUGUGCGGUAUUACUGUCUUCAUUUCACCGACUGAUGGACCGAAGCCCAGAGAAGGGAAGCGACGUGGCAUGGGUCCUCUGGCCAGUUUGGGAGUCGCAGUAAUGGCAACCUCCUCGGGCACCUGUCUCUAGGGAUCUGCAGGAGGGAGGGACGUGGUGCUGGCCCCUACUGCCGAUGCUCAACGACCGGUUGGGAUAGAGCAGCCCAAAGCCGCAACGGAGGAAAACAAAUCGGUGUUUUCAGCAAGAUGAUCUUACACUGCAGGACUUUGUUUGAAAUAUCAUGUACUUCCAACUUUGGGGGUGAUAGGGAGUGUUAAAAUUUUUCUUCUACUGUAUCUUUACUUGGCAAAUGAAAAAGUGGCAACCCAACUUGAUCCGCAAAAUGUUGGUGGGAAGUCACAGCAUAACCUUGUGUUAUGACUUGUGUUCUCAAAGUCAGGCAGUAUCUGUACCCUAGGGCUUACUAGAUACUGACACAGGAGAGGUGGUGCCUGCAGGGGGUGAAGGAGCAGCGACCUCCCUCAAAGCCCAGGUCUGAGAAAAGGAGAUGCUCAUGGGGUGCCAACCUGCACCUUAAUAGCUUCCAGCUGUGCCUCUGACCCUUUGUUGGUCUCAGGAUAUCCACAUGUCAGCUGGCCACAUUAGAGGUACUCGGACAUGAAGUGGUGAGCGCCCGGGGUCUGUGCGCCUGACGACGAGAGCAGGCUGCUCUGCCGGCUCAGGCUGGAGAUGACUUCCUGCACCGCCACCAUGUUCCGGAUCUGUAAAACAAGAGCCACUGUCAGACCCCAGGCACUUCUCCCUGUGCC